RNAcentral lists this ribosomal RNA (381 nucleotides) under Pareiorhaphis hystrix. Its description in RNAcentral is "partial large subunit ribosomal RNA". It matches the Rfam family "Bacterial large subunit ribosomal RNA", at positions 1965 to 2502 of the family's 2925-position model. Lineage: Eukaryota; Metazoa; Chordata; Actinopteri; Siluriformes; Loricariidae. The record is from RNAcentral.
UCACUUGUCUUUUAAAUGAAGACCUGUAUGAAUGGUGGAACGAGGGCUUGACUGUCUCCCUCAUCUAGUCAAUGAAAUUGAUCUACCCGUGCAGAAGCGGGUAUUAUAAUACAAGACGAGAAGACCCUUUGGAGCUUAAGACAAAAGACCAACUAUGUCAAGAGUACUAAAAAUGAAACUAAACCCAAUAACACUGGUCCCAGUCUUCGGUUGGGGUGACCGCGGGAGAAAAUUAAGCUCCCAUGUGGACUGGGGCAACCCCCCAAAACUAAGAAAGACAUCUCUAAGGCACAGAACAUCUGACCAUAAAGAUCCGGCUAUGCGCCGACCAACGGACCAAGUUACCCUAGGGAUAACAGCGCAAUCCCCUUCCAGAGUCCC